GGUCCUCUGAGCUUGAUCGUGUUUGGCAUCUCAUGAGUGGAACUUCACAGCCCUGCAAUUGACACCAUGUUAAGUACAGUGGGGGCUGUUUAAUUUCCUAGUGCCUGAUUUUCAGAAAUGCUGAGUUUGGAAUCCGUUGAAACUGGAGGCUCAGCACCUUGGGUGGAGGGGUGGGAGAGAAGAAAAGUCAGACCCCUGAUUGUUUGGGGUGAGCCACCUUCUUGUAGAAAUCCCCAGGAUCACUGACCACACCACUGCAGUUGAGGUUGUUAGGGGUGGAGAGACUGAUCACAGAAAUAACCGCAUAUAUCUGGGCNNNNNNNNNNCUAACUGGUGUCUCAGCUCAAAGGCAUCUCUAUCUCCGGCUGAAAAUCAGGGUUGAACAAAGGAGCAGUCUGAGAAAGGCACAGUCAAGAUGUUUGAAAAACUCCAGAAUAUGUAGUUCAGAACCGUCGCAUUCUUCAGUGCAAGGGGAGCAGGAAUAGAAGAUCUCCGUGUGAAGUGGAUUUCUGAAGUGGCUCCAGACCGUGGUGAAAGGAUGGCUGGGCCCCAUCUGCCCCCCUUCACUGCCGCCCUGGGACUGGCAUUGCUUGGUGUCCUGGUCUUCCUCUCAGCCCUGUGUGCUGCCUGCAGAAGGAAAGCUAGGAAGAAGGUGGUCCCACCGGAUGGGGUGAAGCUGGUAGAUGUGUCGUUGCUGAGGCAGAUGCAGCUCCGAUCGCUCAGUAAAUCUGACACCAAACUGCAUGAGCUCAACAGGGUGAAGCGCACGGACGAGCACCAAAGACCAGCCAGCGUGGAUUUCCUUUACCCAUCAGGGUCUUUGGGGGAUGGAGAAGGAGCCGUGCAUAGCUCGAGCUUCAGCAUCCUGCUGCACCGAGAGCUGCCCCAGAUCCCCAAUUCCAACCCUUCGGCUGACGCCCUGAGUCCUGACCAGACCUACUCAAACGUGUCCUUCUUAGCCCCGCUGAAACCAGCCCCGGAGGCGCUGUACGAGUGUGCGGCCGUGACUCAGGAAGGGCCUCAACCGAUGCCCAUCUUGGGAACCCCAAUGGAGGCUUCCCCUCUAAGCGAGGAGGACAAGGCAGUGACGGCUGAGUAUGCCUGUGUCCGCAAGGUGAAGAAGAAUUUCCAGCCAGAGCUCCAGGAUGAGACACAGGGCGAAUCCUCCGUGGGGCCUGCAGACCCAGAAGGCUGGGAAGGAGCUGCCUGUAACCCCGCAGCGGUGAAGGUAGAAGAAAUGUACUCGACUGUGUGCAAAGCUGGAAAGAAGAAGAAACACCAAGGCUCUGCUCUGUCCCCCUCUGAAGGAAUGGACACUGGGGAGACGGGCCAAGGAGAACAGGGGUGGCCAGCCGCCCAUCUCAGACAUGUCAGGGUGGGGUAUCAGUCCACACCGGGCCGAGUCUUACUCACUGAGCCCUGCUAUGAGUCUAUCAAGGAUGGAUCCUGGACUGAGCAUGGCAGGAACCCAGCCCCAGAACCGGCCUACGAGGCAGUAGAUGUCAAAUGGAAAAAGCCCAAGAGAAGGGACAAGUCUACCAAGAACUGCCCCACCGAGAACUUGUAUGAAAGUAUCAGCGAAAUGUGGGAAGGGGACCCUAGGAACACAGCUACCCUGGCAGCUCCCAAUGGGUUGGAGAUAUACGUAACAGACUUAUAACGCCUUAUGUAUAGCUGCCCCCUUCCUGGGAAGGUCUGUGCUCCUCC
Molecule: long non-coding RNA, 1707 nt
Organism: Chrysemys picta bellii (western painted turtle)
Lineage: Eukaryota; Metazoa; Chordata; Testudines; Emydidae
Source: Ensembl